UAUCAAGGUAAAAUUUAAUAUCAUUUGUUUACAAUUAAGUUUAAUUUCUGAAUAUAAUAAAUAUUUCAUGUUGCUUAUACUAUGUGAGUAUAGUGGUGAUUAUAGCCUUUAGCUUUAAAGGACUGCAGUGCCUUUUCAUCAUAUGUUCAGGUUAUUUGCCAUUUUAUGCAUCUGAAAUUCUUAUCUCAUUUGAGUGUCAAAUUUUGAGCAUAAGUGUGGAGCUUAAAUUUUAAUUCCUAAUGUGAAUGAAGGAUUAGUAGAAGAAAUCAAGUCUUGAAAAUAAAAGCAAAGUGUCGCCAGCUGGCUGGAAUAGUGGGCAACCAUAUUGA
This 329-nucleotide unclassified non-coding RNA is filed under the name Hevea brasiliensis (rubber tree). Lineage: Eukaryota; Viridiplantae; Streptophyta; Magnoliopsida; Malpighiales; Euphorbiaceae. The record is from RNAcentral.